UCUGAUUGAACGCUGUCAAAGUGCUUGACACAUGCUAAUCGUACGUUUAAUUUAAGUAUAAUUUUAUUAAAAGUGGUGUACAGGUGAGUAUAGAUAUCCGGCCUACCUUAAAGAGAGGGAAAAAUCCCUUAUAGUAACUAAAAGGGUGUAUAAAUAAUCACCGCUUUAAGAGGACUUAAGGAAAUAUCGUCGAGAUAGGUAGUUGUUAAGGUUAUUACUUAACAAGCCUUAAUUCUCGUAGUCGAAGCUGAAAGGUUGAUCGACCACAUUGGGUCUGAAAAAAGCCCAAGACAAAUUAGUGUACAGCAGUGAGGAAUAUUGGUCAAUUGCCGAAAGGCUGAACUGGCAACUUUGAGGAAUGGUACAAAGUAUGUACUAAUAAAUUGAUAUAUCGAAUGAAAUUCUAAAAGUAUUAUUUAUAAUGACGAUAUACUGAUUGAUGCCUUGACUAAUUACGUGCCAGCAGUCGCGGUAAUACGUAAGAGGCUAGUGUUAUUCAUCUUAAUUAGGUUUAAAGGGUACUUAGACGGUAAAUAUUUAUCCUUAAUAAAGGUACAUUUUACUAGAGUUUUAUGCGAGGAGGUAGUACUUAAGGUGUAGAGAUCAAAUUCGUUGAUACCUCGGGGACUGGUAACGGCGAAGGCAACCUCUUAUGUAAAAACUGACGUUAAAAGACGAAGGCAUAGAGAACUAACAGGAUUAGAUACCCUAGUAGUCUUUGCAGACAAUGAUGAAUGCCAUAGGUUAGGAAAAUAAAUUUGACCUAUAAAUGAAAGUGUAAGCAUUUCACCUCAAGAGUAGUGUGGCAACACAGGAACUGAAAUCACUAGACCGUUUCUAACACCAGCAGUGAAGUAUGUUAUUUAAUUCGAUGAUCCACGAAAAACCUUACCACAAUUUGAAUGUUUUUUUGUCGCGCAGGGGGGGGGUGGGGUAACCCGCCCCCCCCUCACCGAUUUAAAAACCUAAUAAAUUAAAGAAAUAACGUAGUUUAACAAGUGUUGCACGGCUGUUUACAGUUAAUGUUGUGAAACUGCGGAUCCGUCCGUGUAAUUAACGAAUACCCCUGCUCUAUUUAUAAAUUAUUAAUAAUAGAGCGUUUUCUGACAUUUCCACAAUCGUUGGAAGAAAAGGGAAUAAGACAAGUCAUCAUGGCCUUAAUAUUGUGGGCUAUAGACGUGCCACAUUUCUCCUCCACAAAGAGACGCAAAAAUGCGAAUUUGAGCUAAUCUCAAAAAAUAGGAUAAAAUACAGAAAAUGGAUUGUAGCCUGAAAUUCGGCUACAUGAAUAAGAAAUUGCUAGUAAUCGUGAAUCACCAUGUCACGGUGAAUUUAACUUUGGAUUGGUACUAAUCACUCGUCGCAUGCUGAAAAGAGUAGGUGCAAUAAGUUUGCUUUUCUAUUUUUAUUAAGUAAAUGAUAGGAUUUAGAUUUUUAAGUAGGAUUCUUCGUAUGUGCGACUCUGAUUAGUGUUAAGUCGAAAUACGGUUUAGUGGAAGUUGCACGGGACUAAUAAAAUUUAACAAAAAUAAA
RNAcentral lists this ribosomal RNA (1533 nucleotides) under Annulohypoxylon stygium. RNAcentral describes it as "SSU rRNA". It matches the Rfam family "Bacterial small subunit ribosomal RNA". The record is from RNAcentral. Lineage: Eukaryota; Fungi; Ascomycota; Sordariomycetes; Xylariales; Hypoxylaceae.